GUGGAUUAGAUACCCCGGUAGUCCACGCCGUAAACGUUGGGCGCUAGGUGUGGGGCUCUUUCCACGAGUUCCGUGCCGCAGCAAACGCAUUAAGCGCCCCGCCUGGGGAGUACGGCCGCAAGGCUAAAACUCAAAGGAAUUGACGGGGGCCCGCACAAGCGGCGGAGCAUGCGGAUUAAUUCGAUGCAACGCGAAGAACCUUACCAAGGCUUGACAUGGGCAGUAAUCCGGCAGAGAUGUCGGGUCCGUAAGGGCUGUUCACAGGUGGUGCACGGCCGUCGCCAACU
This 287-nucleotide ribosomal RNA is filed under the name uncultured bacterium. RNAcentral describes it as "partial 16S ribosomal RNA". It matches the Rfam family "Bacterial small subunit ribosomal RNA", at positions 773 to 1060 of the family's 1533-position model. The record is from RNAcentral.